Non-coding RNA from Mauremys mutica (yellowpond turtle), 666 nucleotides. The record is from the annotation of a RefSeq genome assembly. Lineage: Eukaryota; Metazoa; Chordata; Testudines; Geoemydidae.
AUGAGAUUGUGGCUGAAUCUUCUCUUGGCUCUAGCGGCCCUUCCAGAUGUCCGGUCCCAGGUUCUUCUGGUGGAGUCCGGAGGUGGAAUUCAGAAGCCCGGAGACUCUCUCCGCCUCUCCUGCAAAGCCUCCGGGUUCACCUUCAGCAGCUACCAUAUGAGCUGGGUCCGUCAGGCGCCCGGGAAGGGCCUGGAGUGGGUCGCACUGAUAUACAACUCUGCUAGUAGCCACAGCACGUUUUACAGUGAUGCGGUUAAAGGGCGAUUCACCAUCUCCAGAGACGACUCCAACAGCCUGGUGUAUCUGCAAAUGACCGGCCUGAAAGCGGAAGACACCGCCCGGUAUUACUGUGCGAGAGACACAGCGAUCAGAAAUCAACUGCAGGGCCGCUCCCAGGUGGUUCUGACCCAGUCGGGGCCAGCGCUGAAGCAGGCCGGAGAGUCCCAUACGCUGCAACGUGCCACCAGCGGGUUCGCUCUGAGCAGCACCUGGAUGGGCUGGGUCAGACGGGAGCCCGGGAAGGGGCUGGGGUGGCUGGCCAGGUACUAUGAUCCCUCCAUCCACUGUUACGCCUCCUCCAUCCAGGGGAGAUCUGCAGCCUCCAAGGACAGCAACACCUUCCGCUUGCACAUGAACAGCCUGAAAGCCAAGGACACCGCUGUGUAG